Molecule: long non-coding RNA, 1008 nt
Organism: Macrobrachium nipponense
Lineage: Eukaryota; Metazoa; Arthropoda; Malacostraca; Decapoda; Palaemonidae
Exons: 2
Source: RefSeq, a predicted model, not a curated record
GGAACACACUAUUGUAACUCUCCCUUGGGAACGUAACGCUUGCAACCAUAACUGUUUCAGGUAACGAGUAGCUGGACGUGAUGGCUUCUCUCCGUUUCAUCGCUGCGUCUUUGUUUAUGAUCAUCUCCCUGAUCGCCAUAAGCGAGGCUCUAGUCUUGUGUCCGCAAUUCCCGUCAUGCUGUAAAUACAGAGGACCCAGUGGGCACGACUCGUGCCACAUGCUUUGCCCUUCGUGCAAGGAAGCUGCUUACUUCACAAACGGCGUCCGGAAUUUCCCGACUCGGCGUUCCAGCAGCAGCAUCUUCUUCUUCUGAUGAGGCGCACGCAGUACAGCAGAGCCCAUUGCUUCCUUGAUUUUUUUACGCGCUAUUUCGGGAGGCUGAGGGUUGAUCCCAUUUCCUGAAUUUCGCGCAGUCCUUCAGUCAGCUGAUCUUUGGAGACAUACCGGUUAUCUCUGAAGCAUCAUUUCGCUGAUGGAUGUCACGUGCCAAAGCAAAGAAAGCGAUGAAUGAGAGUUAUAAUAUCGUCCCAGCCGAAGAGGCAGAAGAGUCUGCUAAAGACUGUCUGCUUACUCAAGCCUCAACGUGGAUCGAAAGAAUCGUUCUUACGUCUACUAUGGUUGGCCCAGAGGCAUAGCAGAUUUUCAGUUAUGUGCAAAGUCCAGUAAAAGUUAUGUUUCCUAGAAAGCGACCUCUAGGCUUCAGCUAACGAAAUACGCUGCCUAAUGUCUAGUGUUUGCUACAGAUCCGAGAGAAAAAUAUUUUGAUAUUGUUUCUCGGUUGGUAGAUUGUUCCCAAACAUGCCCUGUGUGAACAGUGUUAAUGCUCAAAUCAGCCAAAGAGUGUGUUUGUAAUGAGCAUGAUUUAUAUUAGUGUGUUUUCCGAUAUUUAAAUAUUUAUCGCUGCAAGUUCGCUUUCAAUUAUAUGACUGCAAAGAACUUGGCGGAAGAUUUCUGUAAAUCAUUCUGUUAUAUAAAAUGGUUUACAAUUAUAUUUCCAUAUAAAUAUA